This 1736-nucleotide long non-coding RNA is filed under the name Triticum aestivum (bread wheat). RNAcentral describes it as "long non-coding RNA (TAES_LNC000360)". Lineage: Eukaryota; Viridiplantae; Streptophyta; Magnoliopsida; Poales; Poaceae. The record is from RNAcentral.
GCAGUCUCAGGGUCUAUCGGAAAGAAGUAACGGAGAGGGAACACAAUAAAUAACAAAGCAAUCAAAGCAUCACAAAGCGUAACAAGACAAUACGCGGUGUUCGGUGUGCCCUAACGCGGUAGUAGGUGAUACCGGUGAAGGGGGGAAAACAUCCGGGAAAGUAUUCCCGGUGUUUCGUGUUUUCUGACAGAUGAACCGGAGGGGGAAAUUUGCGGGUUUGAUAUGUUAGGGGUGUGUGGUGGACGAACGGGCUGCGUAUCCGGGUUCGUCUCGUCGUUCUGAGCAACUUUCAUGUAUAAAACUUUUUCAUUCAAGCUACGGAUUAUUUUCUAUUGAUUUUCAAAGCUUUAAGCAAUAUCCUAAAAAUCCCUGAAAUUCUACUAAGUCUGAGAUUUCGUCAGUUUUAAACAUCACUUUGCUGUUUUCAAAACGCUACAACUAUUGUUCUGUACAUCCUCUGUUUUUGUGCUUUAUACCAAUUUUGAGCAUUUUUCUAUGAUCUACAAGAUAGUAGCACUUGUAUCUCUGUUAGAGUGCAUUUGCUUGAUCAUCAACAGCUCUAAAGUAGCUAUGAAAUUAAAGCCGUUUUCGGCUUUUCUAUUAACAGAACAUUGAACUUUGUGAUUUUCUUAUGAUUUAAUCCAGGCAUCUAACGGAUUAGGUCCAAUGAAAACAUUUGAGCCUUGUCAAGUGUACUACCUUCCCAUAAUAUUUUUGCUCCUGUUAAAAGUCAUUUAGUCGAUGUUUAGGGGCUGUUCAGAGGGUUAAACAGUAUAGAAUUGGAAAAGCUAGCUCGCAUCAGCUACAGUAACUAGCAGCAUUACAACGGCAACAGAGUAGCAGAGGCCGGGUGCUUGCGGGCACGGCGGUUGUGGGCUGGCGCCGGGCGGCAGUUGGUGCGGGCACGCGCACGUGGGUGUGCGCGGGGGCGCAGCCAGGCGAGCAGCCGCCGGUGACAGCAGCAAGCCGCAGCAGCGGUCGCGGUGCGACGCGGGAGCACACAUGGGGGCGAGGCCACACGAAGGCGGGCACGCGCGUACGCGCAGCCGGGCGCAACCGGUCGUGGCCAGAGGCCACACGAAGGCGGGCACGCGCGUACGCGCAGCCGGGCGCAACCGGUCGUGGCCAGAGGCCAGCGAGCGCGGGCACAGCGUGACGGCGCGAGCAGCGGCAGGCAACAGUAGGUAGAACGCAUCAGCAACACGCAUCAGUUACAGAGGAGCGGCAGCGUGCACGUACGCGAACACUGAACUUUUGCCAUGGUGGACAAAGCUCACGGGACGGCCACAAACGGAAUGGAUCGAGCCGGAGAAGAGGGGGAAUCGGACGAGGAGCUCACCGCGGAGGCACACGGAGGCCCGUUGGUGGCUUAGGAGCUGCAGAGGCGACGGAUCGAUGAAGAGCAGCAGCGACGAUCGAGGAAGAAGAAGGCGUCGAUCCGGUCGAGGUGGUUGCUCCGAGAUCGAGUUGAUCCACGUAGGGGAAGCAUGGCAUGCUGGUGGAGCUCCUGGGCAUUCUCCGAUGGUGCCGGGAGGCCGGUGGCCGCGCCUACGGCGGCGGUAUGGCGACAGCAGCGCCGACGAGCUCGGGCGUGUGGGAGAUGGGCAAAGAGAGGGGGAUCUGGAGGGCAGCUAGGGUUCAACCAGGGCAUGGGUGUCCUUGUAGGUCGAUGGGGCGACGGGGACGGCCGUAGGAUGGCCAACGUGUGGCCAUCCGCGUCAUGGACGCGGGUGUGG